Molecule: ribosomal RNA, 366 nt
Filed under: Triticum aestivum (bread wheat)
Lineage: Eukaryota; Viridiplantae; Streptophyta; Magnoliopsida; Poales; Poaceae
Description: partial small subunit ribosomal RNA
Source: RNAcentral
AUGGCGCCGGGGUGGCGGCACCGACGAGCUUUUUUUGCCGGCCAACAUAAUUUUUUGCUACUACCAGCUUCAAUUUUUGUUGCUACCAGCAAACCCGAAGGAGAGUAUUUUUUUUCACGAGUUCGUCGCCAGGGUGCUGCGACCGAUGACCGGCCGGAGCUGCAGGCGUCCUACCGGAGCUGCCACCACCGGCGAGGGAGCUUCAACCGCGGGCGAAGUUUGUUGCAUGCGUGGAUCCGGCGAGAAAGACAUGAGACGACGACGACGAGGCCAGCGACCGGCGGCGGGGGCGGCGAGCGCGCGGGCUGGUGCUUUGAGGCCGGUUGUCUGCUCGUCCAUGGAGGCGCGAGCGUGGAGGAGCAUUAG